UACAGAGGGUGCAAGCGUUGUUCGGAGUUACUGGGCGUAAAGGGUGCGUAGGCGGUCCUAUAAGUAUGGUGUGAAAUCUCCCCGGCUUAACUGGGAGGGUGCGCUAUAGACUGUGGGACUAGAGUGUGGGAGAGGAAAGUGGAAUUCCUGGUGUAGCGGUGAAAUGCGUAGAUAUCAGGAGGAACACCGGUGGUGUAAACGGCUUUCUGGACCAUAACUGACGCUGAGGCACGAAAGCGUGGGUAGCAAACAGG
This 254-nucleotide ribosomal RNA is filed under the name uncultured bacterium. Its description in RNAcentral is "partial 16S ribosomal RNA". It matches the Rfam family "Bacterial small subunit ribosomal RNA", at positions 524 to 776 of the family's 1533-position model. The record is from RNAcentral.